GAGUGAAAGGCUACGGCUCAACCGUAGUAAGCUCUUGAAACUGGGAGACUUGAGUGCAGGAGAGGAGAGUGGAAUUCCUAGUGUAGCGGUGCAAUGCGUAGAUAUUAGGAGGAACACCCGUUGCGAAGGCGGCUCUCUGCACUGUAACUGACGCUGAGGCACGAAAGCGUGGGGAGCAACCAGGAUUAGAUACCCUGUUAGUCCCCGCUGUACACGAUGGGUACUCGUUGUCGUGCGUUACCCCCUUCGGUGCCGCCGCUAACUCAUUAAGUGCUCCUCCUGGGAAUUACGCUCGCAAUAGUGAACCUCAAAUGACUGUCCGGGUACCCUCUCAACUACAGGUGCCUUUGGUCUAAUUCGAAGCAACGCUAAUGACCUUACCUUACGCUGACUUCCCCAUGCCC
Molecule: ribosomal RNA, 404 nt
Filed under: Clostridioides difficile
Lineage: Bacteria; Bacillati; Bacillota; Clostridia; Peptostreptococcales; Peptostreptococcaceae
Description: bacterial SSU rRNA
Rfam family: Bacterial small subunit ribosomal RNA
Source: RNAcentral